UGAAAUAGUGUUCGAUGUCUGUUCUUC
This 27-nucleotide non-coding RNA is filed under the name Mus musculus (house mouse). The record is from RNAcentral. Lineage: Eukaryota; Metazoa; Chordata; Mammalia; Rodentia; Muridae.